Non-coding RNA from Schistosoma mansoni, 51 nucleotides. NCBI's taxonomy places the organism in Eukaryota, Metazoa, Platyhelminthes, Trematoda, Strigeidida, Schistosomatidae. The record is from Rfam.
AUCUAGCUGACGAGUCCCAAAUAGGACGAAAUGACGCGCCUCAAUCUGGAU